This is a non-coding RNA of Rattus norvegicus (Norway rat), 63 nucleotides long. NCBI's taxonomy places the organism in Eukaryota, Metazoa, Chordata, Mammalia, Rodentia, Muridae. The record is from Rfam.
GGGGAUUUAGCUCAGUGGUAGAGCGCUUGCCUAGCAAGCAUAAGGCCCUGGGUUCAGUCCCCA